RNAcentral lists this unclassified non-coding RNA (384 nucleotides) under Hevea brasiliensis (rubber tree). The record is from RNAcentral. Lineage: Eukaryota; Viridiplantae; Streptophyta; Magnoliopsida; Malpighiales; Euphorbiaceae.
CUUGACAUUGCGGGAGACAUCUUAAUUGGCCACAAAGGGUCGAGCCGUAGAAAUUCGCUGAUAAAACGUCUAACAAGAAUUGAUAUAAGACCAAUUCAAAUUCCAUGGAAACAAUAUACACAACAUUAUCCCAGAAAUCCAUGGCUAUGUUAAUGUUUUGUCCUACAAAUAACUCUAGCGGGCAUCGAUCUCGGUGAUGGUCACGUCAUUUAAAGAACCAUUUUGUACUCCUGGCUCGGACAGAUUAGAAUCACUGCAAUUUCUUUUGAAAAUGAAUGCUGGUUGUUUAGGACUGGGAAGGAACGUUUCACCGUUUAGCAUUAGAACAACGUUUGGCAUAGUGGGUCUAUCUCUUGCAUCUUCUUGCACACACAAUAGCCCGAU